GAGUAAUCGAGGUCUUCAGACAAAAAAUCUAAAACUGAAAAAUGAAGUCCGCAUCCGCCUCUCUCAAACCCUCUCUUCCUUCAGACAGCAAACCUAUACUCCUCCAGUCCUCCGCUGCCGGUACAAUCACCACCACCACCACCACCACCACCUCCGAUUCCCAAUGACCCAGUGAGUUAAUCAGACAGUGAACAGCUCUGUCUCGGUCGGCAAGGGCUUGGUGGACGGCUCCCUCCGUCUCGAUCUCCGAUGGCCAAGAUCAAAGAUGCUCAGAGCGAACUUUGUUCGAUUUUUCUUCCUUUUGUGUUUGACUUGCAGUCAGGUCAGAUCAGAUCGGAUCGGAAUAUUGAUUCGGAUUUUUGAAAUUUCAAUUAUUGGGUGCAUCUGCUGGAGAAGAGCUUUGAGACAGAUAACAAACUGGAGCCGGAUCGGAAGACUUAGAUGGCCAAGAAGCUAGGGCUGCAACCAAGACAGGUGGCUGUGUGAAUUUGAGAGGAGGGCAUAGAAAGGCUUCUUCUGGUUAUUACUACUAAAGUUGCAAGAGAUGUUACGUAUGAAGAAUCCCCAUCUGGACAGAGUCUCACUUUUAGAUCAGUCUCUCAUCUGUCAAGAAUUUGCUGAAAAGGAAGAAGCCUACUAGAUUACAACGUUUUGUGAAUUGAUGAACAAGGUUUUUGUAGCCUCAGUGAAAUUUCUAUUUCAAGUAGCAGUGAGAAUGUAUUUGAUGUAUUUGUAAUUAAUUCAGGUUCUAAGUUGUUUUAGUGUGAUGACUUGUUCAGUUUCA
This is a long non-coding RNA of Rosa rugosa (rugosa rose), 784 nucleotides long. RefSeq lists it as uncharacterized. The transcript is spliced from 3 exons. The record is from RefSeq and is a predicted model, not a curated record. NCBI's taxonomy places the organism in Eukaryota, Viridiplantae, Streptophyta, Magnoliopsida, Rosales, Rosaceae.